CGAAGGAUGCAAGCGUUAUCCGGAUUCAUUGGGUUUAAAGGGAGCGUAGGUGGCCCGGUAAGUCAGUGGUGAAAUCUUCUCGCUUAACGAGAAAACUGCCAUUGAUACUGCUGGGCUUGAGUACAGAUGCUGUGGGCGGAAUAUGACAUGUAGUGGUGAAAUACAUAGAGAUGUCAUAGAACACCGAUUGCGAAGGCAGCUCACAAAACUGUAACUGACACUGAGGCUCGAAAGUGCGGGGAUCAAACAGGAUUAGAUACCCUGGUAGUCCGCACUGUAAACGAUGAUUACUCGCUGUUGGGCAGCAAUGCCCAGUGGCUUAGCGAAAGCGAUAAGUAAUCCACCUGGGGAGUACGCCGGCAACGGUG
Molecule: ribosomal RNA, 368 nt
Filed under: uncultured organism
Description: bacterial SSU rRNA
Rfam family: Bacterial small subunit ribosomal RNA
Source: RNAcentral